Molecule: long non-coding RNA, 923 nt
Organism: Xenia sp. Carnegie-2017
Lineage: Eukaryota; Metazoa; Cnidaria; Anthozoa; Malacalcyonacea; Xeniidae
Exons: 2
Source: RefSeq, a predicted model, not a curated record
AAUGUAUCUUACUUUACUCAUGGAUCUGCGAAAACAUUUGACAUAAAUAUAAAGGGAAAUCGCUCAUUCAGAGGAUUAAAUGUUCUGCUAGAAUUUAAAUUAUUUAAUAUCAGUUACAGAUAAACAUACCUAUAAUAUUUUAACAUUAAAUUUUAGACACAUUUAACAAAAAUCGUCAACGGUGCCAUACCAAGUUAACGCCACAGGUUAUUUAAGCAAAUGAUCCGUGGGCGAAAUCAAGCUCAGACUGAACUCACAGAUCUCUACAUGGCGUGUCCUUUAACUCGAACUCAAGAAUGAAAACAUAUUCUCUGUUAGAAAUAGAGCCCCACUAGUGUCUUAACUCUUCAUUUUGUAUAUAUAGGCAAAAGAUCUGUUGAAUGUAGUCAAAGAAAUAGUCACAGAUAUUUUUCAAUCCUUUGAUGAAACAAAUUCAAUGAACAUCAACUACAUGUAUAACGUUUUAUUCCCUGAGGUUUGUUUGUCUAACGCCAAAUUCCAAGUCGUUCUUUUGUUGUGAAAGCUAUGUGACAGUGAAACUAUGAUAUUUUAUUUAAGCCUGCAUAUAUUGUAUACGAAAAACUGAGCGUUGUCUCCGAAAUAACUCUGAAAAAAUUUAUAAUUGUGCGAGUGGAGUUCAAGACGUUGCAGACUUUGAAAGUGACUAACCUUGUUGUCUACCGAAGUACCUGAAAGCUGUAGUGGAUAUUGUAAAAAUUUGAGGUGACUUGACAAUGUAUCAUACUGAUUUACUCUUAUGACUCAAUGUCGUCUAAACAUACUAUUGACGAUGAACUAGCGUUGUUUUUAGUUUAGGUUUACUGAAUAAGAUUUUCUUUUUAGCUAAGUUCUAUUACUUUUUAAAAAAAUAAUGAAUUCUUGUACAGGAAACAAUUAUACUUCAAUUUUGUCUAUAGUUAAAA